UACGUAGGGGGCAAGCGUUGUCCGGAUUUAUUGGGCGUAAAGAGCGUGUAGGCGGCCUGAAAGGUCAGCUGUGAAAACUCGAGGCUCAACCUCGAGACGUCGGUUGAAACCAUCUGGCUAGAGUCCGGAAGAGGAGUGUGGAAUUCCCGGUGUAGCGGUGAAAUGCGCAGAGAUCCGGAGGAACACCAGUGGCGAAGGCGGCUCGCUGGGCUCUACCUGACGCUGAGGCGCGAAAGCGUGGGGAGCGAACCGGG
This 254-nucleotide ribosomal RNA is filed under the name uncultured bacterium. RNAcentral's name for it is "partial 16S ribosomal RNA". It matches the Rfam family "Bacterial small subunit ribosomal RNA", at positions 524 to 777 of the family's 1533-position model. The record is from RNAcentral.